GACGAACGCUGUGCGGCGUGCUUAACACAUGCAAGUCGAACGGAAAGGCCCUGCUUUUGUGGGGUGCUCGAGUGGCGAACGGGUGAGUAACACGUGAGUAACCUGCCCUUGACUUUGGGAUAACUUCAGGAAACUGGGGCUAAUACCGGAUAGGAGCUCCUGCUGCAUGGUGGGGGUUGGAAAGUUUCGGCGGUUGGGGAUGGACUCGCGGCUUAUCAGCUUGUUGGUGGGGUAGUGGCUUACCAAGGCUUUGACGGGUAGCCGGCCUGAGAGGGUGACCGGCCACAUUGGGACUGAGAUACGGCCCAGACUCCUACGGGAGGCAGCAGUGGGGAAUAUUGCACAAUGGGCGGAAGCCUGAUGCAGCAACGCCGCGUGCGGGAUGACGGCCUUCGGGUUGUAAACCGCUUUCGCCUGUGACGAAGCGUGAGUGACGGUAAUGGGUAAAGAAGCACCGGCUAACUACGUGCCAGCAGCCGCGGUGAUACGUAGGGUGCGAGCGUUGUCCGGAUUUAUUGGGCGUAAAGGGCUCGUAGGUGGUUGAUCGCGUCGGAAGUGUAAUCUUGGGGCUUAACCCUGAGCGUGCUUUCGAUACGGGUUGACUUGAGGAAGGUAGGGGAGAAUGGAAUUCUUGGUGGAGCGGUGGAAUGCGCAGAUAUCAGGAGGAACACCAGUGGCGAAGGCGGUUCUCUGGGCCUUUCCUGACGCUGAGGAGCGAAAGCGUGGGGAGCGAACAGGCUUAGAUACCCUGGUAGUCCACGCUGUAAACGGUGGGUACUAGGUGUGGGGUCCAUUCCACGGGUUCCGUGCCGUAGCUAACGCUUUAAGUACCCCGCCUGGGGAGUACGGCCGCAAGGCUAAAACUCAAAGGAAUUGACGGGGCCCCGCACAAGCGGCGGAGCAUGCGGAUUAAUUCGAUGCAACGCGUAGAACCUUACCUGGGUUUGACAUGGAUCGGGAGUGCUCAGAGAUGGGUGUGCCUCUUUUGGGGUCGGUUCACAGGUGGUGCAUGGCUGUCGUCAGCUCGUGUCGUGAGAUGUUGGGUUAAGUCCCGCAACGAGCGCAACCCUUGUUCACUGUUGCCAGCACGUUAUGGUGGGGACUCAGUGGAGACCGCCGGGGUCAACUCGGAAGAAGGUGGGGAUGACGUCAAGUCAUCAUGCCCCUUAUGUCCAGGGCUUCACGCAUGCUACAAUGGCUGGUACAGAGAGUGGCGAGCCUGUGAGGGUGAGCGAAUCUCGGAAAGCCGGUCUCGGUUCGGAUUGGGGUCUGCAACUCGACCUCAUGAAGUCGGAGUCGCUAGUAAUCGCAGAUCAGCAACGCUGCGGUGAAUACGUUCCCGGG
This 1344-nucleotide ribosomal RNA is filed under the name uncultured bacterium. RNAcentral's name for it is "16S ribosomal RNA". It matches the Rfam family "Bacterial small subunit ribosomal RNA", at positions 28 to 1378 of the family's 1533-position model. The record is from RNAcentral.